Molecule: ribosomal RNA, 253 nt
Filed under: uncultured bacterium
Lineage: Bacteria
Description: partial 16S ribosomal RNA
Rfam family: Bacterial small subunit ribosomal RNA
Source: RNAcentral
UACGUAGGGGGCAAGCGUUAUCCGGAAUUACUGGGUGUAAAGGGUGAGUAGGCGGCAUGGUAAGCCAGAUGUGAAAGCCUUGGGCUUAACCCGAGGAUUGCAUUUGGAACUAUCAAGCUAGAGUACAGGAGAGGAAAGCGGAAUUUCUAGUGUAGCGGUGAAAUGCGCAGAUAUUAGGAAGAACACCAGUGGCGAAGGCGGCUUUCUGGACUGAAACUGACGCUGAGGCACGAAAGCGUGGGGAGCGAACAGG